RNAcentral lists this ribosomal RNA (277 nucleotides) under uncultured bacterium. RNAcentral's name for it is "partial 16S ribosomal RNA". It matches the Rfam family "Bacterial small subunit ribosomal RNA", at positions 30 to 307 of the family's 1533-position model. The record is from RNAcentral.
AUUGAACGCUGGCGGCAGGCUUAACACAUGCAAGUCGAGCGGGGAAGGGUAGCUUGCUACCUGACCUAGCGGCGGACGGGUGAGUAAUGCUUAGGAAUCUGCCUAUUAGUGGGGGACAACAUUCCGAAAGGAAUGCUAAUACCGCAUACGCCCUACGGGGGAAAGCAGGGGAUCUUCGGACCUUGCGCUAAUAGAUGAGCCUAAGUCAGAUUAGCUAGUUGGUGGGGUAAAGGCCUACCAAGGCGACGAUCUGUAGCGGGUCUGAGAGGAUGAUCCG